Molecule: ribosomal RNA, 475 nt
Filed under: unidentified nematode Sourhope farm
Lineage: Eukaryota; Metazoa; Nematoda
Description: SSU rRNA
Rfam family: Eukaryotic small subunit ribosomal RNA
Source: RNAcentral
UCUAAGUAUAACCUGCCAGACAGGGAAACUGCGUACGGCUCAUUACACCAGCCUUNAUUUACUUGACCUUGACAACCUACUUGGAUAACUGUGGUAAUUCUAGAGCUAAUACAUGCACCAAAGCUCCGAUCCUCGCGGAGAGGAGCGCAUUUGUUCGCCACAAAACCAAGCGCCCAUCUGGGCGUCCAGUGCUGAACCAGAACAACUCAGCUGAUCGCACGGUCUUGUACCGGCGACGUGUCUUUCAAGUGUCUGCCUUAUCAACUUUCGAUGGUAGUGUACCUGACUACCAUGGUUGUGACGGGUAACGGAGGAUAAGGGUUCGACUCCGGAGAAGGGGCCUGAGAAAUGGCCACUACGUCUAAGGAUGGCAGCAGGCGCGCAAAUUACCCACUCUCAACGCGAGGAGGUAGUGACGAGAAAUAACGAGACCGUUCUCAUACGAGGCCGGUUAUUGGAAUGGGUACAAUUUAAA